AGCCCCAGGCACCAGUGUCAAUUCAAGGGCUGAGACUUGAAGGUUUAGCAAUUUGCAUGUUUCAGCUUCCCAGUGCACAAAGGUCAAAGGUUGCAGUUAUGGAAGGAAAAGGAUCAGAAAAAAAACAUGGAAAAUAGGAAAAUAGAAUCUGGUUCUAUAAGCAGGAAAGAGAUGCAGGAAACAAUUCAGAGGAAAAGAGGCAAAAAGUAAACUGGCACUACAAGCUGGGGUGUCUUAUUCACCAAGAGAAGCAAACGGACAGCACAUUUUGGGGGACAAUGUUUAACACAAGUAGAUAUUCAUGAUUUUUAAGCACUUUGGGAAAAUCUGGUGUUAAUGGAUAUUAAUGAGGACACCUGUCUUGUUUAUUGAUUACAGCAGCUCUCCACUGGAAGUUCCUGUAGCAACUCGAGCUAUGUCCUGGGUAUCUAAGGAUCCAGGUGAUUACUGGAACCUGCUGCAGAGGUUGCAACCCUGCCUCUCUCUUUCGGACCCUCAGGUUGCCCUAGUGACUUUUCUCCACGCCUCUUUGCGUGCUAUCUAUGGGACAUAGAGUUUGAACCUCUCUCUCUCCUUUUUCCUCUCCUUGCUUUGCUUUAAUCCAUCAUUUCUAGGUGUGUGACAACAUUCCCUAACUUAACCCCCCUGCUUUCCUAUUUCAGCUACCGUCACAAUGAUCUUAAUACCAUUAGGUAUCUAGCACUUGGCAAUUUUCAAAGAGCUUCCGCUAGAUCCUCCCUUGGAAUCUUGUGAUGCAGGUGAGAUAGCUAGGAGUGUCUCCUUUUUAAAGGAAAUCAUGGCAGAGAAGUUCAGUGAUAGCCCAAUAUUACACAAUCAUAAAGUGGUGAGACCAGGAGCAGGUUACAGGUCCCCACCCUGGUGCAGUGAAAGGGUGGGGCACGUAAGUUCUGAAGUUUCAGGCAAGUGUGCUGUGAUGGAAUGUGUUAAACUUAGGCUAACAGAGAAUAAGGAAGGGCUGUAACAACUCAUAAUAGGCCUACAGAAUACCUUCAAACCCAUGAAUUUGUAUUUUAAGAACAUAUACGCUCGUGAAGAGUUUUCUAACUCAUUUUUAAGUUUUCUAGACGUCUUAUCCACAUACUUUUUUUUUUUUUAAGGCACUGAGAUCUUGAAAUUGAAAUGUAGAUAGAGUUGUGGGGUAAAGAACUUCUGUUGAGGCUAGGUGCAGUGGCUCAAGCCUGUAAUCCCAGAACUUUGGAAGGCCAAGGAGGGUGGAUCACUUGAGGUCAGGAGUUCGAGUCCAGUCUGGCCAACGUGGUGAAACCCCAUCUCUACUAAAAAUACAAAAAAUUAGCCAAGCGUGGUGGUGGGCAUCUGUAGUUCCAGCUACUCAGGAGACUGAGGCAGGAGAAUUGCUUGAACUCGGGAGGCAGAGGUUGCAACGAGCUGAGAUGGUGCCAUUGCACUCCAGUCUGGGCAACAAAAGUGUGAUUCCAUCUCAAAAAAAAAAAAAAAAAAAAAA
This 1483-nucleotide long non-coding RNA is filed under the name Macaca fascicularis (crab-eating macaque). RNAcentral describes it as "lncRNA (ENSMFAG00000055544.1)". The record is from RNAcentral. Lineage: Eukaryota; Metazoa; Chordata; Mammalia; Primates; Cercopithecidae.